This 317-nucleotide ribosomal RNA is filed under the name Escherichia coli. RNAcentral's name for it is "bacterial SSU rRNA". It matches the Rfam family "Bacterial small subunit ribosomal RNA", at positions 30 to 341 of the family's 1533-position model. The record is from RNAcentral. Lineage: Bacteria; Pseudomonadati; Pseudomonadota; Gammaproteobacteria; Enterobacterales; Enterobacteriaceae.
AUUGAACGCUGGCGGCAGGCCUAACACAUGCAAGUCGAACGGUAACAGGAAGCAGCUUGCUGCUUCGCUGACGAGUGGCGGACGGGUGAGUAAUGUCUGGGAAGCUGCCUGAUGGAGGGGGAUAACUACUGGAAACGGUAGCUAAUACCGCAUAAUGUCGCAAGACCAAAGAGGGGGACCUUCGGGCCUCUUGCCAUCGGAUGUGCCCAGAUGGGAUUAGCUUGUUGGUGGGGUAACGGCUCACCAAGGCGACGAUCCCUAGCUGGUCUGAGAGGAUGACCAGCCACACUGGAACUGAGACACGGUCCAGACUCCUA